GGCUUCGUAGCUCAGCUGGUAGAGCGUCUGCGGCUUUGAUGUAAGCUGUGUCUGUCGCUGGUUCGAAUCCAGCGGAAGCCC
Molecule: transfer RNA, 81 nt
Filed under: Paragonimus westermani
Lineage: Eukaryota; Metazoa; Platyhelminthes; Trematoda; Plagiorchiida; Troglotrematidae
Description: tRNA-Ile
Rfam family: tRNA
About the family: Transfer RNA (tRNA) molecules are approximately 80 nucleotides in length. Their secondary structure includes four short double-helical elements and three loops (D, anti-codon, and T loops).
Source: RNAcentral